Non-coding RNA from Clostridiales bacterium 41_21_two_genomes, 117 nucleotides. Lineage: Bacteria; Bacillati; Bacillota; Clostridia; Eubacteriales. The record is from Rfam.
GUCGGUGUUUAUUACGCUGAGGGUCCACCCGUUCCCAUCCCGAACACGGUAGUAAAGCUCACGCGUGCUGAAAAUACUUGGAGGGCAGCUUCCCGGGAAGAUAGGUCGACGCCGACA